This 68-nucleotide transfer RNA is filed under the name Ferosagitta ferox. Its description in RNAcentral is "tRNA-Cys". Lineage: Eukaryota; Metazoa; Chaetognatha; Sagittoidea; Aphragmophora; Sagittidae. The record is from RNAcentral.
GCCAAAUACAGUUUUAGUAAAUAUUUUUUUUGUAAAAAAAAGAGAUGAGACGAUGAAUAUUUUCGACA